RNAcentral lists this ribosomal RNA (500 nucleotides) under uncultured bacterium. RNAcentral describes it as "partial 16S ribosomal RNA". It matches the Rfam family "Bacterial small subunit ribosomal RNA", at positions 30 to 523 of the family's 1533-position model. The record is from RNAcentral.
AUUGAACGCUGGCGGCAGGCCUAACACAUGCAAGUCGAGCGGUUGAGGGGAGCUUGCUCCCUGAUUCAGCGGCGGACGGGUGAGUAAUGCCUAGGAAUCUGCCUAUUAGUGGGGGACAACGUUUCGAAAGGAACGCUAAUACCGCAUACGUCCUACGGGAGAAAGCAGGGGACCUUCGGGCCUUGCGCUAAUAGAUGAGCCUAGGUCGGAUUAGCUUGUUGGUGAGGUAAUGGCUCACCAAGGCGACGAUCCGAAACUGGUCGGAGAGGAUGAUCAGUCACACUGGAACUGAGACACGGUCCAGACUCCUACGGGAGGCAGCAGUGGGGAAUAUUGGACAAUGGGCGAAAGCCUGAUCCAGCCAUGCCGCGUGUGUGAAGAAGGUCUUCGGAUUGUAAAGCACUUUAAGUUGGGAGGAAGGGUUGUAGAUUAAUACUCUGCAAUUUUGACGUUACCGACAGAAUAAGCACCGGCUAACUCUGUGCCAGCCGCCGCAGUAA